GAAAAGAGCUAAGCUUCAAAACCCAAAAUCAUGGUCACAGCCACCAAGAAAAGCAAUGUCAUCACUUUUUGUAAGGCUGAGACAAGUCGUCUGUGCUGGAAAAACAACAGCCAGCCUGAGGUAAUGGACUACACACUACCAAUCCUCCUCAUAAUUUGACUAACCGACCUGUUUAAACCGGAUCCCAUCCAGCUCAUUGGCCGUCUACGUGGGCCUAGAACGCCGUCGGUUCGUUUUCCCGACUCGGUUCCAAAACUUGUCAGUUUUCGUUGACAUCCUACGAAAGGAUUCGUAGGAAUUCGGGUUCCCGACAACAUGUGUUGCCAAUUUUCUGAGAAACCUUGAAAUUACUUGAAAGUGAUGAAGAAAAAUUUGGCGUGCUGGGUUUGGGGAAGUUGUUAAAGCUUUUUCCUGAAGUGGGUAUUGAAUCUUUUGACCAUUUUCCUUGUGAAAAUUCUUCUUACCACGACUUCACUCCAUUGCUGCAGAAGAUUAAGGUAGGCUAAGGUAAUUUGAACCUUAAGGGUUUUCGUAUAUGAUAUAGGACUAAUAAUGUUGGUUUAUUUCCUCUUGUAACCAUCCUUGGGACGAGAGAGUAGGAUUAGGUUUCUGGUUACUCAAUGAGAUGUUCGAUUUUUCACUUAUUUUAGGGUUUCUUUUUUGAGUGAUUUUAAUUUAGAUUGUGAUGAUGAAGAUAAUAUUAGGAGAUUAAUGGAAAUUCUGGCUGAGAGUGUUAUGAAAUUUUAAACUCUGAAACAUUUUUAGCGUUCAUUGCUGUAUUAUUUACAUGUUUAGACCUUUUAAUAUUUUUUUUUCUGCCCCUAAUUUAGACGUUCUUUGGUUAUCAAUGUUCAUUGUUCUUCUACUAGUAUUCUAAUCAUUUUUACUGCAUUUCUUUUAAUUCUUCUAAUUUUUAAGGUACAUUGUAGAAGUAUCAGAAAUUGAGGCCUAGAGCUGCCACUGUGAUUAGGGCAAAUGAAGCAUAGUGGAGCAGGAUUCCGCAAGGGGAGCUAAAAUUGGACUCUUAGCAUGGUAAGGACGUUGAACCUCAAGCUUACAAAAAAAGGUUAAGGUCCCCUACAUUGGCCAUGGGUGGGGCCCAAAAGGCUAAUAAAGAGGUCAAGGACAUCGGACCUGGGCUAUAUCACCCAUCCCAGGGACAUAAGUUGGACGAGAUGCAUGAGCAUGAGUAGUCAGGGACUCAUGAACCUCCAUGUCGGACGCAGGAGUUAAAUGGCAUCAUCAGGUAUUAUUCUUAUGACAUCAUGAAAGACAAUGCAAUAGCAAUAGCUAUCAUACUUGUAGUUUAAAUGGACAUGUUAGUGUUUUAUGAAUAAGUAAAAUAUAUACUGUG
This 1354-nucleotide long non-coding RNA is filed under the name Olea europaea subsp. europaea. The record is from RNAcentral. Lineage: Eukaryota; Viridiplantae; Streptophyta; Magnoliopsida; Lamiales; Oleaceae.